Molecule: ribosomal RNA, 255 nt
Filed under: uncultured bacterium
Lineage: Bacteria
Description: partial 16S ribosomal RNA
Rfam family: Bacterial small subunit ribosomal RNA
Source: RNAcentral
UACGAAGGGGGCUAGCGUUGUUCGGAAUCACUGGGCGUAAAGCGCACGUAGGCGGACAUUUUAAGUCAGGGGUGAAAUCCCAGGGCUCAACCCUGGAACUGCCUUUGAUACUGAGUGUCUCGAGUCCGGGAGAGGUGAGUGGAACUCCGAGUGUAGAGGUGAAAUUCGUAGAUAUUCGGAAGAACACCAGGUGGCGAAGGCGGCUCACUGGUCCGGUACUGACGCUGAGGUGCGAAAGCGUGGGGAGCAAACAGG